AGAAUUGUUGAUUUAGGGAUUGAUAGGUGAGUUUUGACAUUGUAGUUGGUGGAUUUAAGCUUAAGUGCUGAAAUUUGAGGGUUUUGAUGCAAUUUUGAUAUUUUUGUAUUUAGAUCUUUGGAGGAUGUUGAGUUUUGGACUUGAAGGUGAUACUCCAUCAUAGUUCACUGGUGUUGGGACCUUUUCUCACCUAAUUUGGAGAUCAGAAGGUGAAAUCGAUAUUGAGAUUGAUGUGAAUUUAAGCUUUAGUGCUGAAUUUUGGAUUAUUGAUGGAUUUUGUUGUUUAAAUCCUUAGAGAGG
This 300-nucleotide long non-coding RNA is filed under the name Ananas comosus (pineapple). RNAcentral describes it as "long non-coding RNA (ACOM_LNC026286)". Lineage: Eukaryota; Viridiplantae; Streptophyta; Magnoliopsida; Poales; Bromeliaceae. The record is from RNAcentral.